CACAAGACUGCAGAAAUUACUUUAUUUGAUAAAUGUUUUCAACCCUCCUUCAGAGCCAUCAUCAAGUCCUGCAAUUCAUACCAAGUCUCGCAACUGGCUAUGUUGUUUAUCAACCUGUGAGCCAAGUGAUCCACCACUUUGAGUUGUACUUAGUAUUUCUCUUCGGCUCUUAUCAGUUUCUUCAUGGAACAUCUAAUUCGAUUCAUCCUGAAUCUGUUAGUAAAAGUCGGCUCAACUUUCCAAAUAUAAAGUACAAGACCAAGAUACUGCUCUGUAACUCCAAAUUCAAAAAAACGUGUGAAUCAUAAGCACUACUGAGCAAUAGAGGGUUUUU
Molecule: long non-coding RNA, 334 nt
Filed under: Androctonus crassicauda
Lineage: Eukaryota; Metazoa; Arthropoda; Arachnida; Scorpiones; Buthidae
Source: RNAcentral